UGGGGUGUGGCUCAGUGGCACAGCACGUGGCCAGCAUGCAUGAGGCCCUGGAUUCAAUCCCCAGCUCCCCGC
This 72-nucleotide transfer RNA is filed under the name Marmota monax (woodchuck). It matches the Rfam family "tRNA". Rfam says of the family: Transfer RNA (tRNA) molecules are approximately 80 nucleotides in length. Their secondary structure includes four short double-helical elements and three loops (D, anti-codon, and T loops). RNAcentral also lists the same sequence under 1 other name. The record is from Rfam by way of RNAcentral. Lineage: Eukaryota; Metazoa; Chordata; Mammalia; Rodentia; Sciuridae.